Schistocerca gregaria is the source of this 343-nucleotide long non-coding RNA. RefSeq lists it as uncharacterized. The record is from RefSeq and is a predicted model, not a curated record. Lineage: Eukaryota; Metazoa; Arthropoda; Insecta; Orthoptera; Acrididae. The transcript has 2 exons.
AUUUGGACCUUACCCUAGAACAGAAAGUAGAAGAAUUAAAAGAAACCAUCGAAAAACUGGAACAAUCCUUCAAUCAAUACGGCUAUCUUGAAAUCGCCUAUCACUAUGCAACUAAAAAUACCAAUUUCCAUGUCAAAAUCUGGUCCUUUAUUGAGACGGCUGCCGUUAUGACGAUUGCAAUAUGCCAAGUAGCUUACUUGCAACGAAAAGUAAAUUACUCAAAUCUUAACAAAAGGAGAGUAUGAUCCUUGUUGUUUUUCCCCAUUUAAGGGCAUAUUUGGCUAUCUCCUUUCCAACCAGAAGAAUCUCUGCGAUUGUAUAAAAAGUUUACUUCUUCGACUCA